AAAAACCUAGCGGCGUCGGCGGUGGUAGUCAGUGACUGUGAAGAUGGCGGUGGUAGUGUUCUGGAUGGUGGUAGAUCUAAUGAGUUGUAGCCUCUGGGGGAGUAGAAAUUACCAAUCUCUUCAGUUCUUCACGAUCAGAUUGGAAGUUUCUACAAGCCGACUAAGACUGAAAUUAGUAAAUCAGAGAAUAAUCAUGUUGUUAAUGGCUUAGCAGCUAAGAGAAGAGGUUUUCCGAGCUUAGUAUUCUGCUCCAUCUUUCCAGUGCUUCAAAGGCCUUGCAGACUCGCAGUUUAAUCUUUUCCUUUGAAGAUCAUCCUUUUCUUCAGUUCAAACUAGGAUUUGGAUCUGUACUCAAGAGGAUGAUCAUAUCUUACAUUUUUAUUGAGCUAUUUCAUCAUUGGCUUAACUAACAGAUUCUGGAAUGGCGUGCUUUCUUUUUAUUCUAAUUGAUCUGCAAAUCCAGCAGUAUCAUAAUCUGUGUGGUGUUGCAGGGAGGAAUUGGAAGAUGAAGACUGAUUAAUCUGAUCUGAAACAGUGACCUAAAGAGACUAUGUUGUGCAGCUUUAUAGAAGUAAGAUUUGUAAAACGGAUGAUUGUCAGCAACUACUGUAAGUUCCAUCUCCAUCGACUUUGCGGUUUAACCUAAUGGUAUGGGGGCGCAUAUGGAUAGAGAUGUAUCUAGCAUUAGGUUUUAAAAUUUGAGUUUCUAAAUCAAGCUAUAACUAGAGCUACUUAGUUUGUUUUCCCGGAGGGAGUGAAGUCCCCAAGGAAAGAGAGUGGUAAAAUAUGUUUUCGUGUAAAGCUGCCCUUUUUGUUGAACUUACAUGUGAAUUGUGUAACUUGUGUUGGUACUUGGAAAACUCACUUAGAAUUUAGUACUA
Molecule: long non-coding RNA, 881 nt
Organism: Papaver somniferum (opium poppy)
Lineage: Eukaryota; Viridiplantae; Streptophyta; Magnoliopsida; Ranunculales; Papaveraceae
Exons: 4
Source: RefSeq, a predicted model, not a curated record